RNAcentral lists this unclassified non-coding RNA (377 nucleotides) under uncultured bacterium. Its description in RNAcentral is "contains 16S-23S intergenic spacer region". The record is from RNAcentral.
UCCGGUUUGUCACCGGCAGUCUCGCAUGAGUCCCCGGCCGAACCGCUGGCAACAUGCGACGAGGGUUGCGCUCGUUGCGGGACUUAACCCAACACCUCACGGCACGAGCUGACGACAGCCAUGCAGCACCUGUGCUAGCUCCCCGAAGGGUCCUUCGUAUUUCUACUCCGUACUACUAGCAUGUCAAGCCUUGGUAAGGUUCUUCGCGUUGCAUCGAAUUAAACCACACGCUCCGCCGCUUGUGCGGGCCCCCGCCAAUUCCUUUGAGUUUUAGCCUAGCGGCCGUACUCCCCAGGCGGGAUGCUUAAAGCGUUAGCUGCGCCACUGAUGAGUAAACCCACCAACGGCUAGCAUCCAUCGUUUACGGCGUGGACUAC